RNAcentral lists this transfer RNA (92 nucleotides) under Actinoplanes lobatus. Its description in RNAcentral is "tRNA-Ala". The record is from RNAcentral. Lineage: Bacteria; Bacillati; Actinomycetota; Actinomycetes; Micromonosporales; Micromonosporaceae.
AGCCGGUAGGUGGCGGUCCAGCUCUGGCCGCCCGCGCCGGCCAGCCGGUCGGCGACCUCGCUGACCAGGUCGGUCCCGGCGGCGCCGGCGGC